AUUUAAGGUUAUAAACAUUCCUCCUGACACUGUUUUGGCUGCAUUCCAGAUAUUUUGGUAAGUUGUGUCCCUAUUUUCAUUAAUUUAAUAUAAUGUUCAUUUCUGCAUUAAUUUCAAUGUUCACCAAGAAGUUAUUCAGAAGUUAGUUAUUUAAUUUUCAUGUAUUUGUGUAGUCUUGAGAGAUCGUCAUGUGCUUGGUGUAAUUUCAGUUUUUUUUUUAAGUUAUUGAGACUUGUUUUAUUACCAAGUAUGUGGUUGACUUUGGAAGAUCUUCUGUGUGCAGAUGAGAAGAAUUUAUAUUCUGUGGUUUUUAGGUGAAGUGUUCUAUAGAUGUCUAUUAGGUCCAAUUAGUCAAGUGUUGAUGUUCCAUCAUUUAUUAUUAUUAUUUUGUUUUUUUGAGACGGAGUUUCUCUCUUGUGACCCAGGCUGGAGUGCAAUGGCGCGAUCUCGGCUCACCGCAACCUCCGCCUCCUGGGUUCAGGCAAUUCUGCGUGCCUGUAAUCCCAACUACUCAGGAGGCUGAGGUAGGAGAACUGCCUGAACCCAGGAGGCAGGUGUUGCAGUGAGCCGAGAUCGCGCCAUUGCACUCCAGCCUGGGUAACAACAGCAAAACUCUGUCUCAAAAAAACAAACAAACAAACAAAAUAUUUCCUCCUCCCAGCCAAGGGAGAUGAUGAGUCAGUGUGCAACCCGGCCAAGGAAGCCAUGCUUUUUCCACCGAGCUGUGCAACCCACGGAUUGGAUGAUUUGACUUGUAAGCCCAUGCCACUGGGGUCUAGUGUUCCAACCCCAGAAUGCACAGAUUCUUACAGUCUCUCAGCUGGAAUAUUCUUAAGCUUACUGAACUCCUUGGGGGAAGGGUGACCAGUACCAGCUAAGGCGGCCUGCUCUCUGAACUAUUUGAGCUCCUUAGGGGAGGGGCAGCAGCCAGAACUGGGACGCUAACUGCUUAACACUCUAAGCUCCCUAGGUGGGGGAAGGGCAGCACCCAUUUCUAUAACUCCAG
RNAcentral lists this long non-coding RNA (1006 nucleotides) under Callithrix jacchus (white-tufted-ear marmoset). RNAcentral's name for it is "lncRNA (ENSCJAG00000079025.1)". Lineage: Eukaryota; Metazoa; Chordata; Mammalia; Primates; Cebidae. The record is from RNAcentral.